RNAcentral lists this non-coding RNA (82 nucleotides) under human gut metagenome. RNAcentral's name for it is "S10-Clostridia ribosomal protein leader". It matches the Rfam family "S10-Clostridia ribosomal protein leader". The record is from RNAcentral. RNAcentral also lists the same sequence under 1 other name.
UGAUAGCGUAGAAGCGUGAGGUUGCUGCUUUACAUAGCAGGUUUUCCGUGGAGCGAAUGUCAAGUUAGGAAACUGGCGACAA